UAUUAAUUUAGUCAUGGUUAACAAUUAAACUUUAAUUUAAAUAUACAUGCAACACUAUGAAACCCACUUCUAUAAAAUUUAUUAAACAAUAAUUAAGUGCCCGCAGUAAUUAGCCCUGUCCCAUUAGUAAAAGCUAAAACCGGUAAAUAUUAAUUAGUAUCAAUAAAAUUAGUGCCAGCAAUUGCGGUUAGACUAUAGAUACAAGUUUACUCCAACAGAAAAUAGCUAAUAGUAAAAGAAUAUAAAUAUAGCCACCAAUCGUAAAACCUGAUAGCACUAAAUACCAAAAUAUUCUAACAUCAAGCUAAAAACCCAUAAACUUAAACGAGGAUUAGAUACCCUUUUAUAUUAUGGCAACACCUAAAAAUUCGGGUAGUAAUAAUUAAUUUCCGAAACCCAAAUGUCAUGGCGGCUUCUCAACCGAAUCCGGGGGACCUGCCCGAUAAUCGAUGAUCCGCGCUAAAAUUCACUUAAUUUUGAUACUCAGUUUGUGUAUGGCCGCCGCAAGCCCAUCUUAAAAGAGAUGAGCAAUAUUGAACAAUUUCCAUAACUUCAUUAUGACAAGUCAUUAUACAACCGAUAAUUAAGACACGGUGGGUCACAAAUUAUAUAAAUAAUUCAAUUAAAGAACAAUAAAACUUUAUGAAAAAGGACUGGAUAGUAAUUCAAGUUUAAAACACCUAAAUGAAUAAAGCUACGUGAGAAGUGCACAAAUCGCCCGGCCCUCUACCCGAAAGGGGAGAUAAGCCGUAACAAAGUAGAUGUAAUGGAAAUUGCAUCUCAUAUACC
This 789-nucleotide non-coding RNA is filed under the name Trypanobia cryptica. The record is from RNAcentral. Lineage: Eukaryota; Metazoa; Annelida; Polychaeta; Phyllodocida; Syllidae.